UAUGUUUGACUACCACCACUGAAGGCAGCUGAUGUCUCAAGCAGCUGGAUACUGUGGCGAUGGGAAUCAGACGAGGAGACCGCAGUCAAAAAGAAAGUUACUCAGCAACUGAUUUCCUCUCUUUGGACUGAAAAAUUAAACAGAUACUAAAUUAUGACAGUGAAUUUAGAAAGGAGGGCUCCAAGGGCUUGAAAGAACAUAUCUGGGAUGAUAUGAUGCUUCUAAGAGUACUGCAAUCACAUUGUGGCGAUCACCGGAGCAUGCCGCAUAACUACCUCCUUGGCUAAUCUGCUGUCUUCUUGGUGAUGACUAAUCCUCUUCUAUUAAACAGCAGUAAUGCUGGAAGAACUCAACUGUACAAGUGUAAUGAAGCCAGUAUUCUCCCUGGACAGAUUAGCUACAACUGACUUGACACAUACCAUCAUAAGGGCUUCAAACCUGACAAACUCUGUGCUUGCUUCUGAUUUAUGCCAUCAAGCUCCUCAGAGAAGGGAUGGAAUCCAAGUGUUCCGCUUGGUAGUACUGAUGUGCUUAACUGCCAGUUAAGGAAAGUUGCCCCUCCCCCUCACAUCCCCGCCCCUUGUGCCACCAGAACAAGGGUCCUGCGCCGUGUGCUAUCAUCAAAGAGCCGAGGCCUGUCGCUCUCUCCUGCUUGUGGUUUAGGGAAAUUUGAGCAAAGGAACUGCUUCUACAGUCUCCCAGCUGCCUCUUCACCCCUUGAGGAUGUCCAGGUUUUGUGAUUUUGUGUGGGGUGGGAGUGGGUGGGUGGGAG
This 772-nucleotide long non-coding RNA is filed under the name Homo sapiens (human). RNAcentral describes it as "HSALNT0296788". The record is from RNAcentral. Lineage: Eukaryota; Metazoa; Chordata; Mammalia; Primates; Hominidae.